Molecule: ribosomal RNA, 611 nt
Filed under: Saccharomyces cerevisiae (brewer's yeast)
Lineage: Eukaryota; Fungi; Ascomycota; Saccharomycetes; Saccharomycetales; Saccharomycetaceae
Description: 28S ribosomal RNA
Rfam family: Eukaryotic large subunit ribosomal RNA
Source: RNAcentral
GUUUGACCUCAAAUCAGGUAGGAGUACCCGCUGAACUUAAGCAUAUCAAUAAGCGGAGGAAAAGAAACCAACCGGGAUUGCCUUAGUAACGGCGAGUGAAGCGGCAAAAGCUCAAAUUUGAAAUCUGGUACCUUCGGUGCCCGAGUUGUAAUUUGGAGAGGGCAACUUUGGGGCCGUUCCUUGUCUAUGUUCCUUGGAACAGGACGUCAUAGAGGGUGAGAAUCCCGUGUGGCGAGGAGUGCGGUUCUUUGUAAAGUGCCCUCGAAGAGUCGAGUUGUUUGGGAAUGCAGCUCUAAGUGGGUGGUAAAUUCCAUCUAAAGCUAAAUAUUGGCGAGAGACCGAUAGCGAACAAGUACAGUGAUGGAAAGAUGAAAAGAACUUUGAAAAGAGAGUGAAAAAGUACGUGAAAUUGUUGAAAGGGAAGGGCAUUUGAUCAGACAUGGUGUUUUGUGCCCUCUGCUCCUUGUGGGUAGGGGAAUCUCGCAUUUCACUGGGCCAGCAUCAGUUUUGGUGGCAGGAUAAAUCCAUAGGAAUGUAGCUUGCCUCGGUAAGUAUUAUAGCCUGUUGGGAAUACUGCCAGCUGGGACUGAGGACUGCGACGUAAGUCAAGG